This 309-nucleotide ribosomal RNA is filed under the name uncultured bacterium. Its description in RNAcentral is "partial 16S ribosomal RNA". It matches the Rfam family "Bacterial small subunit ribosomal RNA", at positions 504 to 807 of the family's 1533-position model. The record is from RNAcentral.
AGAGACAGCAGUCGCCGCGGUAAUACGUAUGUCGCAAGCGUUAUCCGGAAUUAUUGGGCGUAAAGGGCUCGCAGGCGGUUUCUUAAGUCUGAUGUGAAAGCCCCCGGCUCAACCGGGGAGGGUCAUUGGAAACUGGGAAACUUGAGUGCAGAAGAGGAGAGUGGAAUUCCACGUGUAGCGGUGAAAUGCGUAGAGAUGUGGAGGAACACCAGUGGCGAAGGCGACUCUCUGGUCUGUAACUGACGCUGAGGAGCGAAAGCGUGGGGAGCGAACAGGAUUAGAUACCCCCGUAGUCCCUGUCUCUUAUAC